RNAcentral lists this ribosomal RNA (253 nucleotides) under uncultured bacterium. RNAcentral's name for it is "partial 16S ribosomal RNA". It matches the Rfam family "Bacterial small subunit ribosomal RNA", at positions 524 to 776 of the family's 1533-position model. The record is from RNAcentral.
UACGUAGGGGGCAAGCGUUGUCCGGAUUUAUUGGGCGUAAAGAGCGUGUAGGCGGCUUUGCAAGUCCGUUGUGAAAACUCGAGGCUCAACCUCGAGACGCCGGUGGAAACUGCAAAGCUAGAGUCCGGAAGAGGAGAGUGGAAUUCCUGGUGUAGCGGUGAAAUGCGUAGAUAUCAGGAGGAAUACCGGUGGUGUAGACGGCUCUCUGGACCGUAACUGACACUGAGACACGAAAGCGUGGGUAGCAAACAGG